UUCCUCCACCUCCAAACCUGGCACGUCCUUAAAUGACCCUGGCUGUUAAUAGGAUAUUAAACAAAAAACAAACAAAAACAAACAAAUGACCUAUAGUCAUCUUACUUCAUCCGUCAUCGUCUGCCCUGCGUAAACUUUACACAUUUCAAACUUUUUCUCAAGUUCUACCAGUGGGAUUCAGCUCCUACUUACAUAUAUGUACCUCAAAUGAUCCUGAGAUAGUCCUGACCAAGCGUUGUUAUUUUUCGGGUACCUCUGAAAUCCAAGAUAGCUGCCAUGCCCAACAGUGCCACUGUACUUGCUACUGAGUAUAUGGCAAUGCCAGAACUGUAAUUAUUCCUGAAACUCCUCACCAGUAACCAGGACUGUAAUUAUUCCUGAAACUCCUCACCAGUAACCAGGACUGUAAUUAUUCCUGAAACUCCUCACCAGUAACCAGGACUGUAAUUAUUCCUGAAACUCCUCACCAGUAACCAGGACUGUAAUUAUUCCUGAAACUCCUCACCAGUAACCAGGACUGUAAUUAUUCCUGAAACUCCUCACCAGUAACCAGGACUGUAAUUAUUCCUGAAACUCCUCACCAGUAACCAGGACUGUAAUUAUUCCUGAAACUCCUCACCAGUAACCAGGAUUGUAAUUAUUCCUGAAACUCCUCACCAGUAACCAGGACUGUUAUUAUUCCUGAAACUCCUCACCAGUAACCAGGACUGUAAUUAUUCCUGAAACUCCUCACCAGUAACCAGGACUGUAAUUAUUCCUGAAACUCCUCACCAGUAACCAGGACUGUAAUUAUUCCUGAAACUCCUCACCAGUAACCAGGACUUAGGUUACAUUUAUGCAGUAUUUAUACCAAAUAUGGUGGUUUCUUGCCCCAGUCUUACAACCUAGUUUUGAAUGUCAAGGUUUGUGAAGGUCACAUAAAUAUAAAACAAAAAGGAAAUAUAAUUUUUGCAUUAUUUAAAGAAAUAUUGAAAUGAAUUAAAUAAAAUCAUCUGUUAGUGGGUAUUAAAACACAGGGGCUUGACAUGUUCCUAUGACCCAGAAUGAAAAAAACCAUAAAGUACAACCCAUAGAUCACUUAUUAUUGUCAGUUUUAAGUGAUCUAGAGGUCAGACCUAAUGCCUAAUGUUUCAUUCUGUGUUAUAGGAACGUGUCAAGCCCCUGUGUAUUAGAAGUAUUGCACUUCAUAUUUUUUUCCUGUAAUGAAUUUGAAGCAAAUAUUUUCGGUGAUUUAAGUAUUUCAUAUUGCUCCUGUAAUAAGCCACAGACCAUCAACUUAGAAUCGAUAAAGUGAUAGAUUUUAUUUCAGGACAGUGAAAAAGCCUAGGUAGCAGUUUUACUGAUUGCAAAAAGGCAGAAGAUAGAGUUGAUGAGACACAGGCUUAUUGCUGGAAAAAUAUGGUAUCUGUAUUGUGUUGUGUAUGUAACCGACUUUGUUUUUGUAAGCCUUAAAAUGAAAUGGCAUUACAAUAUGUUGGAAGUUAACAAUAUUCUGAUUAAACAUACCAUACAUGAAUUUCAAAAUCGGAACUUUUUUUUUUAAUCUGGAAGUUGUCUCCCUUUAAUGAUUACAUACUAACACUGUCUUCCAGUUUUGACUGUUUAUUAAUGGAAGAUAAAUCGUGUCUUAAGAUGUGAUGUUGAGUGUUUAUAAAGUUUAUAGUAUACAUAUUUUGUUAUUUCUCAAAGCUGCAUUGACCCUCAUCUAGUCUAGUUAGUUAAGGAACAUAAUUUCAUUUAAGCAUUGAUGUCAUUUUUUUUUAGUUUCAUCGGGGUAUGAAACAAAUUUUGUUUGCAAACUGUAUGAAUCCGCGUAGUUUGCAAACAAAAUUUGCUUCAUACCCCGAUGAAACUAAAAAAUAAUUGACAUCAACGCUUAUAAUUAAUUUUUGAAAAUGAUUUUCUAAUUUAAAACAUGUUUUAUGUACAAUUUUACUGAUUUUAUAUGGGAUUCUUUUUCUCAAAUCAAUACGCAACGUCAAUUGUCGUAUUGUGACGUCACAUUUUUCGCGCCAUUAUUUAUUUUUCUUUCAUAGAAGAAUGAAAAGAAUUUUUCGACCAAUCACAUUUGAGUAUUUACCAUGAAAACAAAGAAAAAUUAAUUAUACUUAUGUAAAACAGCAAAAAGGAUUAUCUAAGCAAUAGUUGUGUUAAUGUUAUUUGUAAAUUUAUUAAAACUGACAAGUUUGAUA
Long non-coding RNA from Pecten maximus, 2192 nucleotides. RefSeq lists it as uncharacterized. The record is from RefSeq and is a predicted model, not a curated record. The transcript is spliced from 2 exons. Lineage: Eukaryota; Metazoa; Mollusca; Bivalvia; Pectinida; Pectinidae.